This 300-nucleotide ribosomal RNA is filed under the name uncultured soil bacterium. RNAcentral's name for it is "bacterial SSU rRNA". It matches the Rfam family "Bacterial small subunit ribosomal RNA", at positions 26 to 323 of the family's 1533-position model. The record is from RNAcentral.
AGGAUGAACGCUAGCGGCAGGCUUAAUACAUGCAAGUCGAGGGGCAGCGGGGUGUAGCAAUACACUGCCGGCGACCGGCAAACGGGUGCGGAACACGUACACAACUUUCCUUUAAGUGGGGGAUAGCCCAGAGAAAUUUGGAUUAAUACCCCGUAACAUUAUGUAGUGGCAUCACUAUAUAAUUAAAGCUCCGGCGCUUAAAGAUGGGUGUGCGGCUGAUUAGGUAGUUGGCGGGGUAACGGCCCACAAGCCUGUGAUCAGUACUGGUGUGAGAGCACGACCAGUCACACGGGCACUGAG